Non-coding RNA from Drosophila melanogaster (fruit fly), 500 nucleotides. The record is from Ensembl. Lineage: Eukaryota; Metazoa; Arthropoda; Insecta; Diptera; Drosophilidae.
AAUAUUUCUUGAAUUUUCGAGUACUUUCUCUUAUAUGUGGACCCAUGUUUUUUUUUUUCAAUGUAUGCAUGGCAUCGCUGGGAGCAACGCAAAGCACAAACACAAAGUAGGCUGGCCAAAGAUGCAGCUGUAGAUGGAGAUGGAGGUGCAUCAGUGGGUUCGGUCUCCAAGCGGCUGAGAUAAGAACUGCGGCGACAUUGUCCACGGCAUCGAUUUGCUCGUUAGCUGAUGAGUAGCACAUGGCACCCGGCACCGCUCCUCGCAGCGAUCCGUCAGAUGAAAGUUGAGCGUCAUUGGCAAAUACCGACGGCAAAACGGAUCGGCAGAAGUAGGAGUAGCAGAACGAGCUGGUCGAAACGCCAUUUUGGCGGAGCCCCGCCUUUGCACACACAGAUACACACGCACACACUGCCACUCGCAUUCGCAUGUAAUUGAAGUCGUUUAUGAGAGGCUUCUGGGGUGGUGGGGGGUAGGUGCAACAUCUGCAGUGGCAGGCAAGU